AUGAUCUGUUGGUUGAGAAGUAUGGGCUUAAGUCAACUUGCAACAUAUCAUCCAAAGAAGCGCUGGCACUUUUUCUAUGGACUUUGGGAACAACGCAGACCACUGACAAUGUUGCAGAUCGGUUUGCACAUAGUCGUUCUGUCACUAACAAAAAAUUCCAUGAGGUUUUGGAGUGUGUGGACCACAUGGCCGGUGACUACAUUAGACCAAUGGAUCCAUCCUUCUCUGAACCUCAUCCCAUACUUAGAAAAACAAGGUUCUGGCCUCAUUUCAAAAAUGCUAUUGGAGCCAUAG
RNAcentral lists this ribosomal RNA (294 nucleotides) under Triticum aestivum (bread wheat). RNAcentral describes it as "partial small subunit ribosomal RNA". The record is from RNAcentral. Lineage: Eukaryota; Viridiplantae; Streptophyta; Magnoliopsida; Poales; Poaceae.